CCUACGGGAGACUGCAGUAGGGAAUAUUGCUCAAUGGGGGAAACCCUGACGCAGCAACGCCGCGUGGAGGAUGAAGGUUUUCGGAUUGUAAACUCCUUUUGUUAGAGAAGAUAAUGACGGUAUCUAACGAAUAAGCACCGGCUAACUCCGUGCCAGCAGCCGCGGGAAUACGGAGGGUGCAAGCGUUACUCGGAAUCACUGGGCGUAAAGAGCGCGUAGGCGGGAUAGCAAGUCAGAUGUGAAAUCCUAUGGCUUAACCAUAGAACUGCAUUUGAAACUGUUAUUCUAGAGUAUGGGAGAGGUAGGUGGAAUUCUUGGUGUAGGGGUAAAAUCCGUAGAGAUCAAGAGGAAUACUCAUUGCGAAGGCGACCUGCUAGAACAUAACUAACGCUGAUGCGCGAAAGCGUGGGGAGCAAACAGGAUUAGAUACCCUUGUAGUC
Molecule: ribosomal RNA, 440 nt
Filed under: uncultured bacterium
Lineage: Bacteria
Description: partial 16S ribosomal RNA
Rfam family: Bacterial small subunit ribosomal RNA
Source: RNAcentral